GGGACCCGCACAAGCAGCGGAGCGUGUGGUUUAAUUCGUUGCUACACGAAGAACCUUACCUGGGUUUGACAUAUAAGUUGUAGGGAACUGAAAAGGGACCGACCCUUCGGGGAGCCUAUACAGGUGUUGCAUGGCUGUCGUCAGCUCGUGUCGUGAGAUGUUCGGUUAAGUCCGCUAACGAGCGCAACCCUCGUCGUAUGUUAUAUGUGUCAUACGAGACUGCCGGUAAAAGCCGGAGGAAGGUGAGGAUGAUGUCAAGUCAGCAUGACCUUUAUAUCCAGGGCUACACACACGCUACAAUGGUCUGUACAAUGGGUAGCCAAGCCGCGAGGCGGAGCCAAUCCUGAAAGCAGGCCUCAGUUCAGAUUGCAGUCUGCAACUCGACUGCAUGAAGCCGGAGUUGCUAGUAACCGCAGGUCAGCAAUACUGCGGUGAAUACGUUCCCGGGUCUU
This 452-nucleotide ribosomal RNA is filed under the name uncultured Anaerolineaceae bacterium. Its description in RNAcentral is "bacterial SSU rRNA". It matches the Rfam family "Bacterial small subunit ribosomal RNA", at positions 916 to 1382 of the family's 1533-position model. The record is from RNAcentral. Lineage: Bacteria; Bacillati; Chloroflexota; Anaerolineae; Anaerolineales; Anaerolineaceae.